AGUUCGGAUUGAAGGCUGAAAUUCGCCUUCAUGAAGCCGGAAUUGCUAGUAAUGGCAGGUCAGCAUACUGCCGUGAAUACGUUCCCGGGCCUUGUACACGCCGCCCGUCACACCAUGAGAGUUGGGAAUACCCGAAGCCUGUGAGCUAACGUUAAGAGGCAGCAGUCGAAGGUAGAAUCAAUGAUUGGGGUGAAGUCGUAACAAGGUACC
Molecule: ribosomal RNA, 210 nt
Filed under: uncultured bacterium
Lineage: Bacteria
Description: partial 16S ribosomal RNA
Rfam family: Bacterial small subunit ribosomal RNA
Source: RNAcentral